RNAcentral lists this ribosomal RNA (422 nucleotides) under uncultured cyanobacterium. RNAcentral describes it as "bacterial SSU rRNA". It matches the Rfam family "Bacterial small subunit ribosomal RNA", at positions 358 to 795 of the family's 1533-position model. Lineage: Bacteria; Bacillati; Cyanobacteriota. The record is from RNAcentral.
GGAAUUUUCCGCAAUGGGCGAAAGCCUGACGGAGCAACGCCGCGUGAGGGAUGAAGGCCUCUGGGCUGUAAACCUCUUUUCUCAAGGAAGAAGAUCUGACGGUACUUGAGGAAUAAGCCACGGCUAAUUCCGUGCCAGCAGCCGCGGUAAUACGGGAGUGGCAAGCGUUAUCCGGAAUUAUUGGGCGUAAAGCGUCCGCAGGCGGUCUUUUAAGUCUGCUGUUAAAGCGUGGAGCUUAACUUUGGAUCGGCACGAGAAACUCGAGAGCUUGAGUACGGUAGGGGCAGAAGGAAUUCCCCGUGUAGCGGUGAAAUGCGUAGAGAUGGGGAAGAACACCGAUGGCGAAAGCAUUCUGCUGGGCCGUUACUGACACUGAGAGACGAAAGCUAAGGGAGCGAAUAGGAUUAGAUACCCCUGUAGUC